GGCUGGUUAGUUCAAGUGGUUAGAGCGUGGUGCUGAUAACACCAAGGUUGCGGGUUCAAUCCCCAUUUGGUCCC
Apaloderma vittatum (bar-tailed trogon) is the source of this 74-nucleotide non-coding RNA. NCBI's taxonomy places the organism in Eukaryota, Metazoa, Chordata, Aves, Trogoniformes, Trogonidae. The record is from Rfam.